RNAcentral lists this ribosomal RNA (468 nucleotides) under uncultured bacterium. RNAcentral describes it as "partial 16S ribosomal RNA". It matches the Rfam family "Bacterial small subunit ribosomal RNA", at positions 28 to 507 of the family's 1533-position model. The record is from RNAcentral.
GACGAACGCUGGCGGCGUGCUUAACACAUGCAAGUCGAACGGAAAGGCCCUGCUUUUGUGGGGUGCUCGAGUGGCGAACGGGUGAGUAACACGUGAGUAACAUGCCCUUGACUUUGGGAUAACUUCAGGAAACAGGGGCUAAUACCGGAUAGGAGCUCCUGCUGCAUGGUGGGGGUUGGAAAGUUUCGGCGGUUGGGGCUGGACUCGCGGCUUAUCAGCUUGUUGGUGGGGUUGUGGCUUACAAAGGCUUUGACGGGUAGCCGGCCUGAGAGGGUGACCGGCCACAUUGGGACUGAGAUACGGCCCAGACUCGUACGGGAGGCAGCAGUGGGGAAUAUUGCACAAUGGGCGGAAGCCUGAGGCAGCAACGCCGCGUGCGUGAUGACGGCCUUCGGGUUGUAAACCGCUUUCGCCUGUGACGAAGCGUGAGUGACGGUAAUGGGUAAAGAAGCACCGGCUAACUACGUG